AGGCAACCUUCUCGUCCCGGCUGCUGUGGCCCCUCCUUUGGAAAGGCAUAACCUCUCCUAAUCCCCCUCCCCCGGUUUCCGUGGAGACGGCUCAGACGAGCAGGUGACGCAUUGACAGGGAGCAGAUGGUUGCCCGUGGAGGCACCUUGUUAUCUGUCCUUUGUCAGUAAGGCCAUCCUGUGGGACCGGGCAUUCAACCAGUGGACAGACCAUACUGCCCCUGAUGGACGUCCCUCCCUGUGUCCUCGUUUCCUGGCCCACAUGAAGGCCUGUCCUGCAGACCUUAGACCCCGAUGUUUCCUAUCCAGCAAGCCCAGGCCACGACCUCCUCAGCAGGGACAGACUGAAUGUCCAGGAGCAGACCGCAGUACCCCAACACCACCAGGAGGAGGUGCUCCGCUGUUGUUGUUCCCUGUGUUCCAACACCAGUUUCACCCUGUCCCAGCAGAGCCUCCCCUGAGCUCCGUGUCACUGAAUCUAGGCCACCAAGUAUCAAUCCCCACCCUGAUUCGGCCCCACCUCAGAUCCAUCAUCCGGAGGGGGGGACGGAUACCAAGGAUGAGGCACUAGAGAGGGGGGAAGUCCUCUUGGCUACUUCAGUGGCCUUCUGCCCUCCAGGGCCAGACUUAGACCUCAGUUGUGGGCCUGAAGACACUGGUCCCUUGGCCUCUCCGGUACCUAGUUUCUCAGAGGGUUCGCUCUCAGACUUCACUCGUCCCCCAUCCAGCCAGUUCAGCCGGAGCACUGACCUGAGUAGUGGACGAAGCAGUGUCCUAUCUGAGGAUCUGAGUGGCCUGAACUCUCCACUCUCCCGGCUCUGCUCCCCUUCCAUGUCCCUGUCUGCUCUGGCCUCCUGCACCCCACAGGACUCCCCAACACCCCAACCCCUAAACCCAACCCUUCACCCACCUCUCCACCGCCCUGUCUCGGACCAGCUACAGCGCCGCUCAUCUGACUGGACUACCCCGGAGCCCCAGUCGGGCUAUGUCCUUUCACGUUACCCAGAACCAUCCCUGGACCCCAACCGGGACUGUGCUGCCCCAUCUUUUCCCUCAGAGACCUGGCGGUCCAGUCCUAGCCCGCAAUGCGGAAUAACCCUCAGGCCUGGGUCAGGCCUGGUCUCAGGUUCCGCCUCACCUUCUACGACGACUGAGAGGAAAGAAUGGACGUCAAGCCGCUGGUCUGUCCUUCCCCCGAUCUCUCCAGCAAGAGAUGGCAGUGACACAGUGGCUUCUCAAUCGCGCUGUUCUCAGGUCAGCUCAAGCCAGUCCCGUGUGUUUGAUGAACUGGAGGCCGUCGCCCCCCGGACAUCCUUCUGUCCGUCCCUGGACCACCCUCUCAGCUCAGCAGACUGCAGCCCACCUGGCACAGAUAUGUCCCCUGGCCUUGCUGCUCUGACAGUAGGUUGUGACAUGGGGGAGCUGGGCUCCCUUUCCCGGGUGCAGCUCCUGCUCUUGGACCGACCGGAACCCAUGAACCCGCGCUUUCUCUCUGGUCAACACCAGCACUCACUGGGAAAGGAUGUAACAAGAGGCCACACUGCCAAGCUCAGCGCCAGCAGACCCGGACCAUGUGCCACAGGCGUCCUACAGCCCGUCACAGCUGCCAGCUGUGGAAACGGCAGUGCUUCGGAGAGGUGUGCUGCCACAGGCGAAGUCCGUGGAGAGCGUGAACUCACGAUGCCAGGAGACCCGGAGGAUGGCCCCAGGUCUCCGUGGUCGUGGACCGGUGACUCCGGUCCAUCCGACAUCAUCUCCAGGUCUCCCUGCUCACCCUGCCAGUACAGCUGUGAUGGGGAGGAGUCGGACAGCCAAACAAGCCAGGCCUCUACUACCCUGAAUGACAGAAACUCAGGCCCCGGCCCUGACCAGGAAGCCUCAGAGAGGGAGGAGCCUGGUUGCACUCUCCGAGGGGAGCGUGUCGGAACUUCCGCGGGUGGGAGGAGGAGACCUGGGAGGACGGAGCGCAGAAUGAGGCAGAAGGAGCGAAUAAGGGAAGAGAGAAAAACAAAGGUGCUGAACAUCUACUCCAAGCUCCAGGACAGAGGUGCCCUCCAGCCGAGCCACAACCGGGGGCGCUCCAAGUUCGAGGACUUCAACUUCUUGGCAAAGUAUUGCAUUUUCAGCCAGGAGAAACUGACAGAAUACAAAAGGGCUUUUGAAGCGGUGGACAGUGACAGAGAUGGUUACAUCUCCUGCUUGCAAGUGCUGUUGGGACUGAAGAAGAUCAUCCCUUCAGAACUGCUGUCUGAUGAGGAAGAGAUCUACGUCUACAGAAUACUCGAAAUGGUGGAUUUCAGGGUGACAGAUGGACUUACAGACCUGCGGCUCUUUGCGGUGAUUGCCAGUCUGGCACAGAAAAUAGCCACCAUGGAUGUGUUCAUGCGUUCCCUUAUAAGCAAAAUGGACUUUCGUUCUUUGGAGUUGAAGCUUUACAAGGCAAAGCAGCUGUUCCUGUUCCUGCUGGAGGGGCAGUCAGGAGGCUCUGUAGCCCAGCAAGGCUGUAUCAGCGCAGAGCAGCUCCUGGUGGAGCUGAAGGCCGGGGGCGUCCGACCGGAACAAGAGGAAGCCAUCAAACAGGAGCUCCAACACGUCGGCUCCCUGGACCUGCUGGACUUCCUGGCGUACCUGCCCCUCUUCCUCCUCAUCCACAACUCGGUCAUCACCAACCCACUGGAUGACUCCAGCAACCUGUGAUGUCAUCCUUUACCCAGGGUGGACUCAGUUCUAUUGUAUCCUGCCUCUACACGGUGGUUACAAAGUUACACGCUCACUUGCUGAAGAUCGUCCUCCUUUUUUUUUCCCCCUUCUUAUUUUAGUAGUUGGGAACACUUUUAAUGUUGUUGGGUUUUUUUUGUGUGUCGUCUGAGGCGUUUCUUCAAAAGGGCUUUGGAAACUCCCUUUGGAAUAUGUAUUUAGAAAUGACCUACCCCUGUGCUUUGGGCUACAGAAGGUGGACAUUUAGGCUUGAGAAUGGUGCUGUCUAUGGUACUGAAAUAUGUGGGGCUUUUCAAUUGCAGUUCAUGUUGAACAAGUAAUUCACUGAAUACGGCCAUAACAGGUUUAGACUCUAAUAAGGAUGUGUUGCUAAUUGUCUGCCAAAUGUUAAAAUGCGGCCACAAAUUGAAAAUCAUGCAAAACCUGCUGUUGAUAUGAGCGUCUGAUUUAUGCCAGACCCUUGCACUGUUUAUUCCGACGGGAAUAUGAUGGCUCACAACUUCAGCAUCUUGAUG
Long non-coding RNA from Esox lucius (northern pike), 3232 nucleotides. The record is from Ensembl. NCBI's taxonomy places the organism in Eukaryota, Metazoa, Chordata, Actinopteri, Esociformes, Esocidae.